This 746-nucleotide ribosomal RNA is filed under the name uncultured Haemophilus sp. RNAcentral describes it as "bacterial SSU rRNA". It matches the Rfam family "Bacterial small subunit ribosomal RNA", at positions 96 to 840 of the family's 1533-position model. The record is from RNAcentral. Lineage: Bacteria; Pseudomonadati; Pseudomonadota; Gammaproteobacteria; Pasteurellales; Pasteurellaceae.
UGGCGGACGGGUGAGUAAUGCUUGGGAAUCUGGCUUAUGGAGGGGGAUAACGACGGGAAACUGUCGCUAAUACCGCGUAUUAUCGGAAGAUGAAAGUGCGGGACUGAGAGGCCGCAUGCCAUAGGAUGAGCCCAAGUGGGAUUAGGUAGUUGGUGGGGUAAAUGCCUACCAAGCCUGCGAUCUCUAGCUGGUCUGAGAGGAUGACCAGCCACACUGGAACUGAGACACGGUCCAGACUCCUACGGGAGGCAGCAGUGGGGAAUAUUGCGCAAUGGGGGGAACCCUGACGCAGCCAUGCCGCGUGAAUGAAGAAGGCCUUCGGGUUGUAAAGUUCUUUCGGUAUUGAGGAAGGUUGAUGUGUUAAUAGCACAUCAAAUUGACGUUAAAUACAGAAGAAGCACCGGCUAACUCCGUGCCAGCAGCCGCGGUAAUACGGAGGGUGCGAGCGUUAAUCGGAAUAACUGGGCGUAAAGGGCACGCAGGCGGUUAUUUAAGUGAGGUGUGAAAGCCCUGGGCUUAACCUAGGAAUUGCAUUUCAGACUGGGUAACUAGAGUACUUUAGGGAGGGGUAGAAUUCCACGUGUAGCGGUGAAAUGCGUAGAGAUGUGGAGGAAUACCGAAGGCGAAGGCAGCCCCUUGGGAAUGUACUGACGCUCAUGUGCGAAAGCGUGGGGAGCAAACAGGAUUAGAUACCCUGGUAGUCCACGCUGUAAACGCUGUCGAUUUGGGGGUUGGGGUUUAACUCU